Molecule: ribosomal RNA, 455 nt
Filed under: uncultured bacterium
Lineage: Bacteria
Description: bacterial SSU rRNA
Rfam family: Bacterial small subunit ribosomal RNA
Source: RNAcentral
UACGGGAGGCAGCAGGGGGGAAUAUUGCACAAUGGGCGCAAGCCUGAUGCAGCCAUGCCGCGUGUAUGAAGAAGGCCUUCGGGUUGUAAAGUACUUUCAGUCGUGAGGAAGGUGUUAAGGUUAAUAACCUUAGCAAUUGACGUUAGCGACAGAAGAAGCACCGGCUAACUCCGUGCCAGCAGCCGCGGUAAUACGGAGGGUGCGAGCGUUAAUCGGAAUUACUGGGCGUAAAGGGCACGCAGGCGGUUAAUUAAGUUGGAUGUGAAAUCCCCGGGCUUAACCUGGGAAUGGCAUUCAAGACUGGUUAGCUAGAGUCUUGUAGAGGGGGGUAGAAUUCCAUGUGUAGCGGUGAAAUGCGUAGAGAUGUGGAGGAAUACCGGUGGCGAAGGCGGCCCCUGGACAAAGACUGACGCUCAUGUGCGAAAGCGUGGGGAGCAAACGAGGGAUUAGAUACC